Molecule: long non-coding RNA, 472 nt
Filed under: Selaginella moellendorffii
Lineage: Eukaryota; Viridiplantae; Streptophyta; Lycopodiopsida; Selaginellales; Selaginellaceae
Description: long non-coding RNA (SMOE_LNC001989)
Source: RNAcentral
AUAAAUCAAAGUCAAUGGUCAUUUACAAGACCAACUUUUAAACUUCUUUCAAAGAAAGAAGAGAGGACUAUGGCAACGCUAAUGUCACAGGAAGAGGCGGAGAGCUUCGCAGUGGAGUGGUGCGCAUCACUCAACUCGCGCAGCCUGGCCUCCAUCCUCGCGCACUACGAGCGAGGCGCCACUCUGGUGUCACCCCUGGUAUGUGAUCUCCUCGCGCGGAGCUCGGGAGCGCUCCAGGGCCUCGUGGAGCUCUCACAUUUCUUCCACAAGCUCAUGGUCCGCUUCCCAGAUCUCCACCUCCAGAUCCUCCACGUCUUUGGAGGCGUGUCCAGCUUAGUGGUCGUCUACCAGGGAGUUCCAGGAGUGUUUCUAGUUUCCGAGAUGCUGGAGAUCGAUCCAAAGUCACGUAAGAUCUCUAGAGCUGUGGUGCACUUGAAGAAAUCCUGCCACAACGCUGCUUGAGCCAAAAAAA